UACAGAGGGGGCAAGCGUUGUUCGGAAUUACUGGGCGUAAAGGGCGCGUAGGCGGCCCGCUAAGUCGAACGUGAAAUCCCUGGGCUUAACCCAGGAACUGCGUCCGAUACUGGCAGGCUUGAAUCCGGGAGAGGGAUGCGGAAUUCCAGGUGUAGCGGUGAAAUGCGUAGAUAUCUGGAGGAACACCGGUGGCGAAGGCGGCAUCCUGGACCGGCAUUGACGCUGAGGCGCGAAAGUGUGGGGAGCGAACAGG
RNAcentral lists this ribosomal RNA (253 nucleotides) under uncultured bacterium. RNAcentral describes it as "partial 16S ribosomal RNA". It matches the Rfam family "Bacterial small subunit ribosomal RNA", at positions 524 to 776 of the family's 1533-position model. The record is from RNAcentral.